ACAUUUACCUGGCAAGGGAGAUACCAUAAUCAUGACAGUUUUCCCUAGGCAAGGCUUAUCCAUUGCAUUCUGGAUGUGCUGACCCCUGUGAUUUCCCCAAAUGUGGGAAACCCAGCUGUGUAAUUUGUGGUACUAGGGUAUUUGUGGUUUUUUCUCUG
Small nuclear RNA from Nycticebus coucang (slow loris), 158 nucleotides. RefSeq annotates it as U1 spliceosomal RNA. Lineage: Eukaryota; Metazoa; Chordata; Mammalia; Primates; Lorisidae. The record is from RefSeq and is a predicted model, not a curated record. The transcript has a single exon.